UUAAAUUCUUCUUUUUUUUGAAAUUUUUUUAUCCAAUUCGAAAUUACAACAUAAAUAGAAAUGAAAUGGCAAGAAUAGUCUACCUCUAUUCGAACAAGGAAUUCUCUAAAAUCAAAUUAAUAAUUUAAAAAAAAAAAAAGAAUAUCUUUGAAUUCAUAAGGGAUUUCUUUGCGUGUAUAUUGUACCAUUUGAUCACUUAGCUCCAAACGUCAUCUCGAGGGUUAUGCCACCAUGUCUUUAAACCUAUAUGCAAUAGAAAGAUUUCCGCAUUCAUGAUAUAUUUAAUUAUUUUAACAUAAUUUCAAUUCUUAAAAAAAGAGAAGGAAUAAUGAAUUCCACAAAAAAGUACUUUUUUUUCACGAGGUACGUACGGUUAUAAAUAAAUAUUUAUUUGUUAGUAAAUUGACCAUAGACCAAUUUCCCUUUAAUUUGGAAAUAUUCAAUAAACUCAUAAAUUAUGAGGUUCAUGUUACUCAUUCCAAAAGACGUGCCAGAUACAGGGCAUUCCAAUUUUAUUGACUAGAAUGACAGUUUAUAAGUCAAAAUUUGUACAAUAAUUAUUUUUAUCAAAUCACACAUCGCAAUAUACUUGACCUUCUAAUUCUUUAAGAGGUUUAUCUUAAAGGCUCGCGAUAUAACUAGGAAGACGUUUCAAAUACCACACAUGAAUUACUGGACAUGCUAGUUUAAUAUACCUCAUUUGAUAUCUACGUAUCAGAGAAUCAACAAAUUCUACUUCGCAUUGUUCACAAAAUUUUAGUUGGUCUUUUUUAUCUUUGAUUACUCGAUAAUUUCAAUAAGACAAAUCCCACUUUUGUUAGGUCCAAAAAUUAUUUCACAAAAUAAUCCAUCUUUUUUUAGGCUUAUUGGUUAUGUAAUGAAGAGUAUACCGUUUUAUUACCUCCCCAACUAUUUUUUCAUCAGGUAGGAUUAUUUUUGCCCUAUCACUUAUUUGUGCAGGAGAAACUAAUCCAAUUCGAAGGUGUUGAUGUUUAUAUUGAUCAAUAAUAGAAUAAAAUUUCUGAACCAGUCCAAUUAAACUUCAAACCUUUGAAUCUAGAAGUCUUUCUUAGAUACAAGAUAAUGAUUCAGUUCCAGAGCCAAAGAUCGUAGUUCUCAAACAAGCUAUCGAAAAGAUUCUAGAACAUCCACGAGUUUAGGUAUUGUUCCUCCCAUGAUUGUAGUCCUGAGUACUUCUUGAUGAGCUUUAAUAUGAUCAGAUUUAUAAAUCAACAUCUGUCGUAAAAUAUGAGCAACACUGAAUCCCUUGAGAGCCCAAACCUCUAUUCCGCCUACCUAUUGUCCUCUUUGUUUGGCCCUUCCUUUAAGGGUUGUUGUGUAACAAGUGCAUAAUUUCCAUUGGAACGUCGAUGUAUUAUAUCAUCAACUUGAUGAAUUAAUUUUAAGAUAUAAGGUUUUCCUAUUAUAACAACUUGUUCAAAAGGAUUCUCUAUUCUUCCAUCAAAUAAUUCGCUUUUUCCCAAAUACUCAAGUUCAAACAUCCAUGGAUUCGAUGUUUUUUUACUGGCCUCAUAUAAUUCAGAAAACACUAGUUUUAUGGAAGCCUAUUGUUCAUAUCUCUCAUCAAAAGGUGUUAAUCAAUAAUGUUUAUUUAACAUACUCCCAGCUAACCCCGAGUGAACAUUCAAAUAUUUGUCCUACAUUCAUUUGUGAGGGUACCUGAUGACUCUUCAUCAUAUGCAUAUUUUUCAUUAUUUUUAGUCUUAUUUAUCUUCAAUCAUUAGUUGUUAUUUGAUAUAUUUUUGUUGAUUCUAGUUCUUGGAUUUAAUGAAAUGUUUAUGUUCUUAUUUACUUGAUUAAGUAGAGAUUUUUCGUAGUUUUGUGAUGUUUCUUUGUUUUAGUCCAGUGCUGAAUUUUGGUGAGAAAUUAACAUGACUUAUGUAGAAUAUUUUAAUCAUAUAUGGAGUUGUAGAUAUUCAAUUGGAGUCGAACCAAGUGCCAGUGAAAGUUAAGAUCCUUAGCUACAACUUUCAUGAAGACAGAAAAACCAAAUUUGGACUCAAAAGUGGAACGAAAUGCAAUAAACGUCACACAAAAGAGGUUUUGCACCUGAAGCGCAAAAACCCGCGCUUGGGGUGCAUUUCUGCACCACUGACUCUGUCAAAGAGCGUUUGAAGUGCAAAUUCCGCGCAUGGGGCAAUUUUAUCUAGAAUCAUUCAUGAAUAUUUCUUAUAAUUCUUCUCUAAUCUCUAUCUUUUCUAUCUCUGUCAUGAGUAACUAAACCUUAUUUGGUAGGGAUGAGUGAAACAAGAUGAAGCCCUUAUUUUUCUAAUUUGAUUUCUAGUUAUAUGAAUGAGUUUAUUGAAUUAUUUUUCUCAUCUUUGUGCUUAAUGUUUUUUUGUAUUGCUUGAUCAACUUUAAAAUAUUCUACGAUUCGUAUUUUGAAACAUAAGUGAAAUUUACGAAUUCUUGUGAUGAGAAAUUCAUGAUAUUGUAGUCUAGAGAUAGAAGCAAGUUAUGAAACCAAUUAUAUUAGUUGCAAAUACAGUAAUUUAACUAGAGAAUUCUUGUACUCUAAGGCUGAAUUAUAAUCUUAAAUCCACUAAGGAAUUAGGGGUUACUUUGGAAUUAAAGGUUUUUGUCGCUAAGACAUUAGGACAAGAAUAAUAAAGAGAAUUUGGUAAUAAUUCAAUAAAGAAGUUUAGUAACUAGGAUCAAAUUAGGAACCAAGGUUGGAUUCAAAGUGAAACUCAUCUCUGAUAUUUUUCUUAUAAAAGUUCAAUUAUAUUACUCUUGUUAAUUUUAAAUAUUAUUUCAAUCAAUUCAUAAAUUUUUUGUUCAAUUUUAGUAAUUAAAUAUAGUUCAAUGGUAAAACACAAUCCUUGAGUUCGACACUUAGUACUAUCAAUUUAUUAUUACUUGCAACGACUCAGUACACAGGUUGAAACGUUAUCAUGCUUUUGCCAAAUGGAUUGAAGACCAUUUCAAAGGGUCUUCCAUCUUGCAAAUAAUGCAUAUCUUGUCUAGAAAAAAUCUUUGAAACGAUACAUUUAUUUUCGUGUCUCCAGACCACUUUAUCACCUACUUUAAUUUCACAUUUCGGCGAAAUAUAUAUAUAUGAAUCGUUUCUAGAUUAUAACUAGAACAUUUUUUUGUUGUUGAUCCAUCUGACAUCAAUAACUCGACUCCUACCACCUACAGGUAGUUUUAGAAAAGUUUCCUAUGAGGUAGAUUCCUAAAUCCCAAGUAUAGCUCAUAAUAUCUCUUUCAACUUUUGAGGAAUUAAUUUACCCAUUAAAAUAUCUCUUCUUUCUACCCAAGAUCCCAGGAUCGCAAUUCCAUUUUUGUCUAAAUUUUGUAGUAAAUGGGCUUCUAAAUGUGGAAUUUUAUUAGUGAUUUUUUCAGAACCGUGACUUGUGACAUGAGUCUGAAUUUCAUAUUUCCUUAUGUGAAAAGAUUUAUAAAUAUCUUCAUAGACAAGAUGCUCAUUAUUGAUUACAUCAUUUUCAGAAUUGUAACAUUCCCAUGGCAUAUAAGCUACUGAUAUGGUUUUUCCUAAUGUGAGUUCACUUCCAAUUAUAAUAUUAUCGUCGGCUAAAAAUUGCCCCUGUUUUACGCAUUUACCUUUCUUAACCUGGGAUUUUUUUAUGCAUGCAAGUAAUUUGGUUGGAACACUGAUAUAUAAUUAAUGGAAUGCUUAGAACAUUCACACUUCCAUAUAAAAUGAUCUUGACAAUAUCGUUAUAAAGGAUCUUUUCCUCUUGUUCGACUAUAGCGGCAACUUCUAAAUCUAACGCGAGGUGUUCCAAUCUAGUUCCAACAAUGCACUUUUCGAAUCGAGAUAGAGGAAUUGCUUGACAUUGCAUAUUUGAACUCAUUAAAGCUCGAUUCACAUCAUUAUGCUUGAUAAAAGGAAUGAAUGAAGCUCCAAUAGAAGAAUAUUGGAAGGGAAAAAUACUUUGAAGAAGAACUUGUUCUCAUGCAGUAGUAAGAGAUUCUUGACGGUAUCGAGCUAGAACAAUCUAUUCCUCCCGAAUACCUUGAUUUAGUGCUAAAAAAUUCUCUGUAGCUACUGUUGAAGGAGAAGAGAAUAUUGAGAGACCUGUUGAAUAACUCGUGUAUUUCAACUACACAUCGGAAGUUCUUUAUAUACACUUUGAGUGAUAAAUACACAUAAUGACAGGAAUACUUACAGACUUUCUAUUUAUUUACAUACUAAUAUUUUAUUUUCAACACUCUCUCUCAAGUUGGAGCAUAUAAAUCAAAUGCACCCAACUUGUUACAUAUAUAAUUAGUUCUAGGACCUCGCAAAGACUUUGUAAAAACAUCUGUCAACUAAUCACUAGAAUUGACAAAGCUAGUGAUGAUGUUGCCCGAUUCAAUCUUUUCUCUAACAAAAUGGCAGUCUAUGUCAAUAUGCUUGGUCAGCUCACGACAAAAUAAGAUUUGAGGCAAAGCACAAUGCAGCUUGGUAAUCACAUAUUUGUGUCAUUGGGCUGGCCUCUUCAAAUUGAAGUUCUUUUAGUAACUGUUUCAACCAAAUGAGCUCACAUGUUACUAGUGUCACAACUCUGUAUUCUUCCUUAGUGCUGGAUCUUGCAACAACAUUUUGUUUCUUACUCUUCCAAGAUAUUAAAUUUUCUUUGAAAAGUACACAAUAUCCAAAAGUGGACCGUCUAUCAAUGGGUGAGCCUACCCAAUCGGCAUUUGAGUAACCAACUAUCUGAGUAUGUCUUCUAUCUUCAUAAAUGAGAUAUUUUUCAGGUGCACUUUUGAUGUAUUUAAGAAUCCAGAUUACAACGUCCAUAUGUUCUUGGCAAUGAAAAUUUAAGAACUGGUUUACCACACUGACAGCGAAGAAAAUGUCAAGACGGGUGGAUCCAAUAAUGUCCUUAACAUAUUUUCUUUGUGAAAUUACAAGGCCGUCCUUGGAUUGGACUACCUCAAUACCCAAAAAAUAACGGAGUAUUCCUUGCUAAUCACUACCAUUAUGACAAUGUCAUCCACAUAAACAAUAAGAUAGAUGCACCAUUGGGAUAAGUGACGAUAAAAUACAGAGUGAUCGGCUUCACCAUGAAUCAUACCAAACUCAUGUACUACCAAACUGAAUAUGUCAACCAAGCUCUAGGAGACUGUUUAAGACCAUAAAUGGACCUAUGUAGCCAACAAACCAUGGUGGAAGACUCCCCUUGAGCAACAAAACCUGGUGGUUGCUCCAUAUAAACCUACUCUUGAUGGUCAUCGUGCAAAAAUGAAUUUCUAAAGUCAAGUUAAUGGAGAGACCAAUGUCGAAUAGCUACAAUAGAAAAACAGUCUGACAUAUGCUAUUUUGGCUACAGAUGAGAAGGUAUCACUAUAAUCCAACCCCAAAGUAUGAGUAUAUCCCUUGACCACUAAACGAGCCUUAAAUCGUUCAAUCUUACCUUAAGGGCUAACCUUCACCAUAUAGAGCCAACGUCAACCUACUAAAGACUACCCGUGAGGUAAAGGGACCAGUUCCCAACCGCUACUUUGUAGAGAACACAUUUCAUCAAACAAAUGAGGAGAUGGAUUACGUGUUGCGUGAAAAUCCUCACGAAGAGCCAUGGGAAUGGCAUGUUCAGGUGGUAGGGCCGAACUUGGUGGUGGCAUCGAAUGAGAGUCUGUCAUGGGAACAGGAACAGGCACAACGGAGGUGGGCGAAAACGAUAAUAUGUUUGUAGUGGUCAUGGAAUUUGCGAGGCAGACUCGACAAGUUCGAUAGGAAUAAGAGUGGGUGGAAUAUGGAUAACUACCAGGAGGUUCGAGAUUAAUAUCCUAAUAUGACUCAAUAGCUAUAUGAGCCAGUUCAAUAUAUGGUAUAAACUCGAAAAAGGUAGCAUCAGUUGAUGUAACAUAUCAGUGUAGUGCAGGAGAAUAACAAUGAAAGCCCUUUUGGGACCGAUGAUAUUUGAGAAAAACACACUUGGGACACUCAAGUCUUACCAAACUUCAAAAAUUGGUGCCUAGUUUGUCUAAGUUGUCCACGUUACAAUAUGAGUCGUGUCAGUUAGGGAAACACACUUGUAAUCAUUUUCCUAAUCGAGUCAAUAAAAGGGUUUUGUCCCAUUUUGCUUUAGUUUACUGUGAUGUUUGGGGUCCUUCUCGUACUAAGUCUAUUUUAACGUCUAAGUAUUAUUUUACUUUUGUUGAUGAUUACUCUUGUUGUACAUGGUUAUUUUUAAUGAAAAAUAAAUCUAACCUCUUUUCUAUUUUUGAGCAAUUUUAUCAAGAAAUUAAAACUCAAUUUCGUGUUUUCAUUCGUACUUUAAGAAGUGAUAAUGCUCGGGAUGAUUUGUCCCAUCAAUUUUAAAAUUUUAUAGCAUCUAAUGGUAUUCUUCACCAAACGCCAUAUCCUCAUGCAACCCAACAGAAUAGGGUAGCCGAACGCAAAAAUCAGUUUCUCAUUGAAACCAUUCGAACCUUAUUUUUCCAUGGUAAGGUUCCAUUCUAUUUUUGGAGGGAUGCAAUCUUAACGGCAUGCUACCUUAUCAAUUGUAUGUCGUUUUCUUUCAUUGAUGGCAAUAUUCCUCAUUCAGUCCUCUUUCCCCAUACCCUUCUUCACCCACUACCUCAUCAUGUCUUUGGGUCUAUGUGUUUUGUUCACAAUCUAUCUCCUAGUCUCAACAAAAUGUCAGCUCAAUCACUUAAUAACAUGUUGAAUGAGAAGAGAAUAUUGAGAUACAUGUUGAAUAACCCGUGUAUUUCAACUAUACAUUGAAAGUUCUUUAUAUAGACUAUGAAUGAUAAAUACACAUAAUAACAUAACAAGAAUAUUUACAUAUUAUCUAUUUAUUUAUAUAUUUUAUUUUCAACAGCUAUCAUAUAGUAUUCAUCUCUACGUACUUGGUGAUAAAUAAAGCAUUUGUAUUCUUUUUUAUCUGUUAGAAUUUUUAUAAAGUGGACUUUCUAUAGAUCCCCAAUUACCGAUCCUUGCGUCAAUUGCCAAUGAUCCAAUAAGUCCAACAUUGAUUCCUUCAAUGGUGUCAAUUGGACAAAUGUGUCCAUAGUGACUAGGACGAAUAUCUCGUAUUCAAAAGCUAGCAGUCCUCCCUUUCAAUCCUCCAAGACCCAAAUAAUUAACUUUCUCCCAUUAACUAUUUGCGUCAAUGGAUGGGUUCGAUCCAAAACUUGAGAUAAUGGGUGUAAUCCAAAAAAAAUUCAUAAGUGGAUAAGUGGUUGUUGAUGGAGUUGAAGUCACCAAAAUCCGAAGAGACGGUAUUAAUUUAUAUCUAAGUCCUCCACAUAUAGUUCCUCUAAUUAUAUUUUCUAAACGAAUGAGAGCAAUCCAAAUUGAUCUUGUAAGAGAUUUGUAUCGGAACGGAUACAUUUAUUUUUCAAAUGAUUCAUAUCAUCAAGUGUACCCAUUCCAAAUUUCAUUCCAAUCAAAUGAUCUGCCGCUAUCAAUAUAUCUCGCGGCAACAAAAAUAUAUUGUUUUGAGGUAUAUCAAGAUUUAGCCUUCAAUUCAUAUUUCGUCGACCAAUCCCUCCUAAUUCACACAUUUGUUCAGUUUUUUUUUUUUAAUUCCGUACAUAAAGAUUCAGGAAAUACAAGCAAAUUAUCGACAAAACUUCAAAAUGACAUUUUCUUUUUACCCUAUAUUUUUCCCUCCUUUUAAUUGAGAAAAGACAAGAAAAUUUCAGGAAGCAAACGUUCUCAAGAAUUUUGCUUAAAUUCGAACCCAUAGCUCAUGAUAAAACUAGAAUAGGUAUUUUCAGUUUUCUACUUACACAUGCCCAUAUCCUUGCUUUUCUAUCAAUCUCUAAUCUAUAAUUUCCCUUCCCAAUCUAAUAUUAUUGUGGCAGACCGAAAUUUCGUUAUGGUCCAAUUUUGACCAAUAAUAGAUACCGCCACUUCGUAAUAUUUGAUUGAUUACUAUUAUAUAUAUAUAUGUUCCUUAUGGUAAUUGGGCUCCAAUAUUGUCUUAUAAAUAUGUAGUUAAUAUAAUUAAAUAAAUAUAUAUGACCACAAAUAAUAUUAAAAUAAUAAUUAAAAAAAAUAUUUAAUAAAAUAUUCCAACCGGAAGCCAGAUAUCAUAUCUGCGAGAAAUAAAGGUAUUUGAAUAAAAAUGGUGCGGCUGCUUAAUGUUACGCGACGGAGAAGAGAAUGAAUAGUAUCUUGUGGGGAUUUUAAACAACAAAUGGCUUGAAAAAGGGUGCAUAAACCGAAACAAUCCAAAACUCAAUUCGAUGAGUUUUUGAAUAAUUUUAACACUAAAACCCUAUUUUAACCCUUUAAUAAUAAAAAUCUAAAUUCUAAAAUAAAUAUUCAAGAUAACUAUUUAUUUUAUAAUUAGUUAAAGUAAGAAAAAUAAUCGGAAGUAAUUAAAAUACUAUACACGCUUAUUAAUAAUUAAAGGCAUCCAAAAAUACCACAAUAAUUAUUAGAACAUAUAUUCACAUAAUAUUUGUUAAACAAUUCUAAAAUAUUUUAGAAAAAAUUCUUAUAAUAUCUAAACAUACAUAUAAAAAAAUCAUUCAAAAAUUCAUACAAUACACAUGAGUUAAUUUAAAAGCAAAUAUUAAAAUUGUUAACGAAAAACAUUUAAGAUACCAUUGUUAAAAGAAAAUUUUUAAGAAAAUUAAAAAAUAAAAAAUAUAUUUAUAAAACAUGAUAUAUUUACAAAGAAUAUGAAUAAUUCUUGGCCUAACUUUGGUACCUGCAUAAUUUUGUUGGCGAAGCAUGUUGCAGCUUUUUAAAUGAGGCAAUGGUAUCAGAUCUUUUAGGUUGUGUUUUUGUCCAAGUCUUAGUCCAUUAAAGCUUACAUGGAUUUGAGUGGGUGGCAUGUGGUCUACGUUUCAUACUUUUUGUAAUGGUGGUGUUCUGUAGUGUCGGUGUUUUCUGUUUUUAUUAGUGGCAUGUUUUUC
RNAcentral lists this long non-coding RNA (8847 nucleotides) under Cicer arietinum (chickpea). RNAcentral's name for it is "long non-coding RNA (CARI_LNC000466)". The record is from RNAcentral. Lineage: Eukaryota; Viridiplantae; Streptophyta; Magnoliopsida; Fabales; Fabaceae.